Molecule: unclassified non-coding RNA, 211 nt
Filed under: soil metagenome
Description: partial contains 5.8S ribosomal RNA, internal transcribed spacer 2, and large subunit ribosomal RNA
Source: RNAcentral
AACCUUAUGGACCUGCGGGCGUAUACCUGCGGAAGGAUCAUUACCGAGUUUACAACUCCCAAACCCCUGUGAACAUACCUAUACGUUGCCUCGGCGGAUCAGCCCGCGCCCCGUAAAAAGGGACGGCCCGCCCGAGGACCCCUAAACUCUGUUUUUAGCGGAACUUCUGAGUAAAACAAACAAAUAAAUCAAAACUUUCAACAAUGGAUCU